This 497-nucleotide ribosomal RNA is filed under the name uncultured bacterium. Its description in RNAcentral is "partial 16S ribosomal RNA". It matches the Rfam family "Bacterial small subunit ribosomal RNA", at positions 28 to 507 of the family's 1533-position model. The record is from RNAcentral.
GAUGAACGCUGGCGGCGUGCUUAAUACAUGCAAGUCGAGCGAACAGACGAGGAUCUUGCUCCUCUGACGUUAGCGACGGACGGGUGAGUAACACGUGGAUAACCUACCUAUAAGACUGGGAUAACUUCGGGAAACCGGAGCUAAUACCGGAUAAUCUAUUGAACCGCAUGGUUCAAUAGUGAAAGACGGCUUUGCUGUCACUUAUCGCUGGUUCUGGGCCGCAUUAGCUAGUUGGUAGGGUAACGGGUUACCAAGGCGACGAUGCGUAGCCGACCUGAGGGAGGGAUCGGCCGCACUGGAAGUGGGACACGGACAAGGCGCCUGCGGGAGGCAGCAGUAGGGAAUCGUCCGCAGUAGGCGAAAGCCUGACGGAGCGACGCCAAGUGAGUGAUGAAGGUCUUCGGAGCGUAAAACUCUGUUAUUAGGGAAGAACAAAUGUGUAAGUAACUAUGCACGUCUUGACGGUACCUGAUCAAAAAGCCACGGCUAACUACGUG